UCUCCGUUGGUGAACCAGCGGAGGGAUCAUUACAGGACUCGCAAGACUCCUACAACCCUGUGAACUUAACUAUAAGCACGUUGCUUCGGCGGGUGUCUCGGAGGGGGUUCUCCCUCCCCGAGACGCUAAACCCGCCGGCAGCCUACCAUACUCUGUCUCUUUGCGUUGGCAUCUCGAGUACAAUCAAACAAGCUAAAACUUUCAACAACGGAUCUCUUGGUUCUG
RNAcentral lists this unclassified non-coding RNA (225 nucleotides) under plant metagenome. RNAcentral describes it as "partial contains small subunit ribosomal RNA, internal transcribed spacer 1, and 5.8S ribosomal RNA". The record is from RNAcentral.